GAGUUUGAUCGUGGCUCAGGAUGAACGCUAGCUACAGGCUUAACACAUGCAAGUCGAGGGGCAGCAUGCGGAUUGCUUGCAAUCCGCGAUGGCGACCGGCGCACGGGUGAGUAACGCGUAUCCAACCUUCCCUACACUUCGGCAUAACCCGGCGAAAGUCGGACUAAUUCCGAAUGGUCUCCUUUGACGGCAUCAGAAGCGGAGUAAAGAUUUAUCGGUGUAGGAUGGGGAUGCGUCCGAUUAGCUGGUUGGUGUGGUAACGGCUCACCAAGGCUACGAUCGGUAGGGGUUCUGAGAGGAAGGUCCCCCCAACUGGAACUGAGACACGGUCCAGACUCCUACGGGAGGCAGCAGUGAGGAAUAUUGGUCAAUGGGCGAAGCCCUGAACCAGCCAAGUAGCGUGCAGGAUGACGGCCCUA
Molecule: ribosomal RNA, 419 nt
Filed under: uncultured bacterium
Lineage: Bacteria
Description: bacterial SSU rRNA
Rfam family: Bacterial small subunit ribosomal RNA
Source: RNAcentral